RNAcentral lists this ribosomal RNA (2899 nucleotides) under Klebsiella pneumoniae. RNAcentral's name for it is "bacterial LSU rRNA". It matches the Rfam family "Bacterial large subunit ribosomal RNA". The record is from RNAcentral. Lineage: Bacteria; Pseudomonadati; Pseudomonadota; Gammaproteobacteria; Enterobacterales; Enterobacteriaceae.
UUAAGCGACUAAGCGUACACGGUGGAUGCCCUGGCAGUCAGAGGCGAUGAAGGACGUGCUAAUCUGCGAAAAGCGUCGGUAAGGUGAUAUGAACCGUUAUAACCGGCGAUGUCCGAAUGGGGAAACCCAGUGCAAUUCGUUGCACUAUCGUUAACUGAAUACAUAGGUUAACGAGGCGAACCGGGGGAACUGAAACAUCUAAGUACCCCGAGGAAAAGAAAUCAACCGAGAUUCCCCCAGUAGCGGCGAGCGAACGGGGAGCAGCCCAGAGUCUGAAUCAGCUUGUGUGUUAGUGGAACGGUCUGGAAAGUCCGACGGUACAGGGUGAUAGUCCCGUACACCAAAAUGCACAGGCUGUGAACUCGAAGAGUAGGGCGGGACACGUGGUAUCCUGUCUGAAUAUGGGGGACCAUCCUCCAAGGCUAAAUACUCCUGACUGACCGAUAGUGAACCAGUACCGUGAGGGAAAGGCGAAAAGAACCCCGGCGAGGGGAGUGAAAAAGAACCUGAAACCGUGUACGUACAAGCAGUGGGAGCACCUUCGGGUGUGACUGCGUACCUUUUGUAUAAUGGGUCAGCGACUUAUAUUCUGUAGCAAGGUUAACCGUAUAGGGGAGCCGCAGGGAAACCGAGUCUUAACUGGGCGUUAAGUUGCAGGGUAUAGACCCGAAACCCGGUGAUCUAGCCAUGGGCAGGUUGAAGGUUGGGUAACACUAACUGGAGGACCGAACCGACUAAUGUUGAAAAAUUAGCGGAUGACUUGUGGCUGGGGGUGAAAGGCCAAUCAAACCGGGAGAUAGCUGGUUCUCCCCGAAAGCUAUUUAGGUAGCGCCUCGUGAAUUCAUCUUCGGGGGUAGAGCACUGUUUCGGCUAGGGGGUCAUCCCGACUUACCAACCCGAUGCAAACUACGAAUACCGAAGAAUGUUAUCACGGGAGACACACGGCGGGUGCUAACGUCCGUCGUGAAGAGGGAAACAACCCAGACCGCCAGCUAAGGUCCCAAAGUCAUGGUUAAGUGGGAAACGAUGUGGGAAGGCACAGACAGCCAGGAUGUUGGCUUAGAAGCAGCCAUCAUUUAAAGAAAGCGUAAUAGCUCACUGGUCGAGUCGGCCUGCGCGGAAGAUGUAACGGGGCUAAACCAUGCACCGAAGCUGCGGCAGCGACACUAUGUGUUGUUGGGUAGGGGAGCGUUCUGUAAGCCUGCGAAGGUGUGCUGUGAGGCAUGCUGGAGGUAUCAGAAGUGCGAAUGCUGACAUAAGUAACGAUAAAGCGGGUGAAAAGCCCGCUCGCCGGAAGACCAAGGGUUCCUGUCCAACGUUAAUCGGGGCAGGGUGAGUCGACCCCUAAGGCGAGGCCGAAAGGCGUAGUCGAUGGGAAACAGGUUAAUAUUCCUGUACUUGGUGUUACUGCGAAGGGGGGACGGAGAAGGCUAUGUUAGCCGGGCGACGGUUGUCCCGGUUUAAGCAUGUAGGCUGGUUGUCCAGGCAAAUCCGGAUAAUCAAGGCUGAGGUGUGAUGACGAGGCACUACGGUGCUGAAGUAACAAAUGCCCUGCUUCCAGGAAAAGCCUCUAAGCAUCAGGUAACAUCAAAUCGUACCCCAAACCGACACAGGUGGUCAGGUAGAGAAUACCAAGGCGCUUGAGAGAACUCGGGUGAAGGAACUAGGCAAAAUGGUGCCGUAACUUCGGGAGAAGGCACGCUGGUGUGUAGGUGAAGCCCCUGCGGGUGGAGCUGAGACCAGUCGAAGAUACCAGCUGGCUGCAACUGUUUAUUAAAAACACAGCACUGUGCAAACACGAAAGUGGACGUAUACGGUGUGACGCCUGCCCGGUGCCGGAAGGUUAAUUGAUGGGGUUAUCCGUAAGGAGAAGCUCUUGAUCGAAGCCCCGGUAAACGGCGGCCGUAACUAUAACGGUCCUAAGGUAGCGAAAUUCCUUGUCGGGUAAGUUCCGACCUGCACGAAUGGCGUAAUGAUGGCCAGGCUGUCUCCACCCGAGACUCAGUGAAAUUGAACUCGCUGUGAAGAUGCAGUGUACCCGCGGCAAGACGGAAAGACCCCGUGAACCUUUACUAUAGCUUGACACUGAACAUUGAGCCUUGAUGUGUAGGAUAGGUGGGAGGCUUUGAAGCGUGGACGCCAGUCUGCGUGGAGCCAACCUUGAAAUACCACCCUUUAAUGUUUGAUGUUCUAACGUUGGCCCCUUACCGGGGUUGCGGACAGUGUCUGGUGGGUAGUUUGACUGGGGCGGUCUCCUCCCAAAGCGUAACGGAGGAGCACGAAGGUUAGCUAAUCCUGGUCGGACAUCAGGAGGUUAGUGCAAUGGCAUAAGCUAGCUUGACUGCGAGCGUGACGGCGCGAGCAGGUGCGAAAGCAGGUCAUAGUGAUCCGGUGGUUCUGAAUGGAAGGGCCAUCGCUCAACGGAUAAAAGGUACUCCGGGGAUAACAGGCUGAUACCGCCCAAGAGUUCAUAUCGACGGCGGUGUUUGGCACCUCGAUGUCGGCUCAUCACAUCCUGGGGCUGAAGUAGGUCCCAAGGGUAUGGCUGUUCGCCAUUUAAAGUGGUACGCGAGCUGGGUUUAGAACGUCGUGAGACAGUUCGGUCCCUAUCUGCCGUGGGCGCUGGAGAAUUGAGGGGGGCUGCUCCUAGUACGAGAGGACCGGAGUGGACGCAUCACUGGUGUUCGGGUUGUCAUGCCAAUGGCACUGCCCGGUAGCUAAAUGCGGAAGAGAUAAGUGCUGAAAGCAUCUAAGCACGAAACUUGCCCCGAGAUGAGUUCUCCCUGAGACUUUAAGUCUCCUGAAGGAACGUUGAAGACGACGACGUUGAUAGGCCGGGUGUGUAAGCGCAGCGAUGCGUUGAGCUAACCGGUACUAAUGAACCGUGAGGCUUAACCUU